GGUUUAAUUCGAUGCAACGCGAAGAACCUUACCUGGUCUUGACAUCCACGGAAGUUUUCAGAGAUGAGAAUGUGCCUUCGGGAACUGUGAGACAGGUGCUGCAUGGCUGUCGUCAGCUCGUGUUGUGAAAUGUUGGGUUAAGUCCCGCAACGAGCGCAACCCUUAUCCUUUGUUGCCAGCGGUCCGGCCGGGAACUCAAAGGAGACUGCCAGUGAUAAACUGGAGGAAGGUGGGGAUGACGUCAAGUCAUCAUGGCCCUUACGACCAGGGCUACACACGUGCUACAAUGGCGCAUACAAAGAGAAGCGACCUCGCGAGAGCAAGCGGACCUCAUAAAGUGCGUCGUAGUCCGGAUUGGAGUCUGCAACUCGACUCCAUGAAGUCGGAAUCGCUAGUAAUCGUGGAUCAGAAUGCCACGGUGAAUACGUUCCCGGGCCUUGUACACACCGCCCGUCACACCAUGGGAGUGGGUUGCAAAAGAAGUAGGUAGCUUAACCUUC
RNAcentral lists this ribosomal RNA (500 nucleotides) under Escherichia coli. RNAcentral's name for it is "bacterial SSU rRNA". It matches the Rfam family "Bacterial small subunit ribosomal RNA", at positions 943 to 1443 of the family's 1533-position model. The record is from RNAcentral. Lineage: Bacteria; Pseudomonadati; Pseudomonadota; Gammaproteobacteria; Enterobacterales; Enterobacteriaceae.